UACGGAGGAUGCGAGCGUUAUCCGGAUUUAUUGGGUUUAAAGGGUGCGCAGGCGGAUUUUUAAGUCAGCGGUCAAAUCGUGGGGCUCAACCCCAUCCAGCCGUUGAAACUGGGGAUCUAGAGUGUGCGAGAGGUAUGCGGAAUGCGUGGUGUAGCGGUGAAAUGCAUAGAUAUCACGCAGAACCCCGAUUGCGAAGGCAGCAUACCGGCGCACAACUGACGCUCAGGCACGAAAGCGUGGGUAUCGAACAGG
This 252-nucleotide ribosomal RNA is filed under the name uncultured bacterium. Its description in RNAcentral is "partial 16S ribosomal RNA". It matches the Rfam family "Bacterial small subunit ribosomal RNA", at positions 524 to 776 of the family's 1533-position model. The record is from RNAcentral.